RNAcentral lists this ribosomal RNA (303 nucleotides) under Triticum aestivum (bread wheat). Its description in RNAcentral is "partial small subunit ribosomal RNA". The record is from RNAcentral. Lineage: Eukaryota; Viridiplantae; Streptophyta; Magnoliopsida; Poales; Poaceae.
AUGUGGAAAUCAAGGACAAGAAAGGAGCUGAAAAUGUUGUGGCAAGAUCACUUGUCGAGAUUGCAAAACAAUGCAGUAGACUCCUUACCUAUCAAUGAUGUUUCACCAGGGAGCAAUCUUAUGCAAGUUACUAGUAUACAAAACUAUACACCAUGGUACGCAGAUAUAGUUAAUUACCUGGUCUGUAACAAAGUUCCUAUAGAUUUUGGGUAUCAAAAGAAGAAGAAAUUCCUAUCAGAUAUGAAGCACUUCUUUUGGGAUGAACGUUACUUAUUCAAGCAUUGUGCUGAUGGUAUUGUUUGA